UUUUAGUGUACUGCGGAGGUCAUUACCUAGAGUUUGUAGACUUCGGUCUGCUACCUCUUACCCAUGUCUUUUGAGUACCUUCGUUUCCUCGGCGGGUCCGCCCGCCGAUUGGACAACAUUCAAACCCUUUGCAGUUGCAAUCAGCGUCUGAAAAAACAUAAUAGUUACAACUUUCAACAACGGAUCUCUUGGUUCUGGCAUCGAUGAAGAACGCAGCGAAAUGCGAUAAGUAGUGUGAAUUGCAGAAUUCAGUGAAUCAUCGAAUCUUUGAACGCACAUUGCGCCCCUUGGUAUUCCAUGGGGCAUGCCUGUUCGAGCGUCAUUUGUACCUUCAAGCUCUGCUUGGUGUUGGGUGUUUGUCUCGCCUCUGCGUGUAGACUCGCCUUAAAACAAUUGGCAGCCGGCGUAUUGAUUUCGGAGCGCAGUACAUCUCGCGCUUUGCACUCACAACGACGACGUCCAAAAGUACAUUUUUACACUCUUGACCUCGGAUCAGUAGGGAUACCCGCUGAACUUAAGCAUAUCAACCCGGGAAAGAAACGUGAAUUAAGCAUUUUAAUAAGCGGGAGGCCCCAUCAGACCAACCAAAGAACAAACACCUCCCAACCCAAAA
RNAcentral lists this ribosomal RNA (613 nucleotides) under Epicoccum nigrum. RNAcentral describes it as "eukaryotic LSU rRNA". The stretch from base 169 to 322 matches the Rfam family "5.8S ribosomal RNA". RNAcentral also lists the same sequence under 1 other name. The record is from RNAcentral. Lineage: Eukaryota; Fungi; Ascomycota; Dothideomycetes; Pleosporales; Didymellaceae.